Molecule: long non-coding RNA, 348 nt
Filed under: Gallus gallus (chicken)
Lineage: Eukaryota; Metazoa; Chordata; Aves; Galliformes; Phasianidae
Source: RNAcentral
CUCCUGGACGACGGGCUGGUUGAGGGCAAAGGACAGGAAGUGUGUGAAGGGCUGCUUCUUACGGAAGCUGUCGAGAAGAACAUCGAUGCGCGUCCGGGCCGAGAUGACACCGCCGCGCUGCUGUCCUGUAAUCACAAUUUCUCCUUCCAAUCCAGGCUUGGGAAUGCUGAUUGAAGUUCGAGUCUCUGUUUCUAUUCUCUUCUUGGUUUCUCCUUUCUUCCCUAUUAUGUACUUGUAUAAGGGGCUGGGAACCUCCACUCUGCACUGGAAGCCUUUAUCAGUCUCUUCCACCACAAAGGCAUCGCAUGGUUCGUCCGCACAGUCACUGGGCCCUGUGUAGAAGUUCUC